This 553-nucleotide ribosomal RNA is filed under the name Bacillus sp. CR59. RNAcentral's name for it is "bacterial SSU rRNA". It matches the Rfam family "Bacterial small subunit ribosomal RNA", at positions 378 to 921 of the family's 1533-position model. The record is from RNAcentral. Lineage: Bacteria; Bacillati; Bacillota; Bacilli; Caryophanales; Bacillaceae.
AAAGUCUGACGGAGCAACGCCGCGUGAGUGAUGAAGGUUUUCGGAUCGUAAAACUCUGUUGUCAGGGAAGAACAAGUACCGGAGUAACUGCCGGUACCUUGACGGUACCUGACCAGAAAGCCACGGCUAACUACGUGCCAGCAGCCGCGGUAAUACGUAGGUGGCAAGCGUUGUCCGGAAUUAUUGGGCGUAAAGCGCGCGCAGGCGGUUCCUUAAGUCUGAUGUGAAAGCCCCCGGCUCAACCGGGGAGGGUCAUUGGAAACUGGGGAACUUGAGUGCAGAAGAGAAGAGUGGAAUUCCACGUGUAGCGGUGAAAUGCGUAGAGAUGUGGAGGAACACCAGUGGCGAAGGCGACUCUUUGGUCUGUAACUGACGCUGAGGCGCGAAAGCGUGGGGAGCAAACAGGAUUAGAUACCCUGGUAGUCCACGCCGUAAACGAUGAGUGCUAAGUGUUAGAGGGUUUCCGCCCUUUAGUGCUGCAGCAAACGCAUUAAGCACUCCGCCUGGGGAGUACGGCCGCAAGGCUGAAACUCAAAAGGAAUUGACGGGGGCC